Long non-coding RNA from Loxodonta africana (African savanna elephant), 1815 nucleotides. RefSeq lists it as uncharacterized. The record is from RefSeq and is a predicted model, not a curated record. The transcript is spliced from 3 exons. Lineage: Eukaryota; Metazoa; Chordata; Mammalia; Proboscidea; Elephantidae.
UUCUUGUCCUCAAUCUUCCCAUGGUCGAGGAGCUUCUCAGGCACAGGAACCCUGGGUCCAAAGGAUGUGCUCUACUCCCGGUGCUGUUUUCUUGGUGGGAGUUCCUGGAAAACAGAAGAUGAUUCCUGGAAGAUCAUGGCAAGGGAGAUAAUUUUGGCAGAUCUCACUUGGACACCUUCACAGAAGUGUUUGAGAGUCAGGAUACCUGCAUACCACUGGGCACCAGAACCCUGAUCUGAAGAAAUGGAAAACUUCCAUUAUUACCUGAGGACUUUGAUUUGCUAAUUGAGGAAAGUUAUGCUAGUCCAGUAUUUUAUUUGUAUGUUAUAUUUAAAAAAUUUUUGUUUUUCCCAUGAUUUAGUGAUGGAAAGAUAAUACAAAAUAAGUAUUUAGUGAAAACUAGGAAAUAUAAUAAAAAAACUGAAAGGACAGCUAAAUGGAUGAAAAUAUAAGGGACAAAUAGAAGGGAGGGCCACAGGGUAAGUUUUGAUUUUUCACAGGGAGGAUAUUGUAUUAAUUUUAGAGGCGAGAAAAACAAAACUGUAUAGAAUACAUAGAAUGUAUGGAAACACAGAAACCGUUUUGACUUAGGAGACACAUGGUGGUGAACAGUAGAACCAGGCUUCUAUAGAAUGAACUAAUUGGAAUCAUUAUUAAUUAAAGAAUGAACUAUUUCAUUUAUUUAUUCUUUAAGCACUUGUAUCUCAUUUAUUUAAGUAUUGGGUUAUGUUCUGAAGGUAAAAGUGGAAUAAGGUAUAGUCUUCAACCUUGAGGUUCACAAAUCUAUUUGGAGGACAGGAAAAAUAAUUUGGUUAUAACAUGUAGAGCAUUUUCAUUAAAGCACGUGAAAUUUAGAAACACUAAGAACUCUCUCUAGGCAGAUUAGAGAAUGUUCAACAAUUUGUGACUUUAAAAAAUGUGAACAAUGAGUUGGCCACAGAAUGUAAAAGGAUAUUGGAGUCUAAGAUUGCUCUCCAUUUCUCUUUCCCUUUUAUUUUGAAACCCAAAGGCAUGUAUAGAGAACUGUAUUUCUGUAUGAUGAUGUCUUGAUGGUAAGAGAGUUGGAGGGUGAGGUUGUGGAUGCAGGUGGAGACAAUGCAUCAGGUGCCUUAUUUUCUAUCUUAAGAAUUGAUUUUACCCUACAGGUGCUAAAGAGUCAUAGAGAAGCAUAAAGAAUAAUUAAUUCACCCAUUCUACUUGUUAGACAGAAAAUUAAAUUACCUCUUCUGUUUUCUUUUUCUUCUUUCUGAUUUUCCCAAUCUUUUCUGUAAAUCUGCAAUACCCUCACAUCUAAGCUCUUAACUUCCUUAUUUCCAAAUAUUUUAUGCAGCAUCUUAGACUGGGUUGAGUGGAGCUGAAGUUUUCGAUGGGUAAUUUUAUUUUCAAGUUUUAGUUCCCACAAGGUUUCCAAGGAUGACUUUGAAAAGGCAAGUGACUAAUGAGGGCCAUGAAGUAGCCAUUGAGUAACAUGGCCUCUCUUUCCUUUCAGGAACUCCAACAUUUUUUGGAUACUAAGCUGCCUUUUCACACUGGGGAGGAUCCUGUAUGGGAGAAGAUAUCAAAGACAGGAGACCAGGAAAUGGAAAGGGUUUUUAUUUGAACCAAAUGGAUAAAAUAAAAGAAAACAUGGGUAAAAUGCGAAGCCACAUAAAGUGCAAGACGAUUGUUGUACAACCCGAUCUAAAUUUUAGACACCUCACAUUCUUGGGAGCAGUUUUCUAGAUAUGCUGCAGCUUAUCAAUGUUAUUUUAAAAUAAUAAUGCAUAAAACUGAAGCUCAUAUUUAAUAUGUGACCUCCUUUUUCACGGUAAAAUG